RNAcentral lists this long non-coding RNA (521 nucleotides) under Homo sapiens (human). RNAcentral describes it as "non-protein coding EPHA5-AS1:10". The record is from RNAcentral. Lineage: Eukaryota; Metazoa; Chordata; Mammalia; Primates; Hominidae.
GAGUUGCUUCGACGAAGUCACACACCCACGGAGGGAAGUAAUCUGGAGGCUGCCUUGAAGUCUGAAAGCAGGUUCUUUUUAUUAUAAUGUGCUCCGAAUGGAUGAAGCAAAUUUAGAGGAAGAGCAGUGAAUCAGUUUCUCAGUUUGGCAAAAAGCCUCACGGGCAUGUACAGGAAGCCUUCCUGCAGACAUCCACAGUGAACAAGUCUAAGGACAAUAGCUUUCGUUGGCCCCCAAUAGAAGGCAUUUUUAGUGAUGUGUGGCCUCACCACUUAAAUCCAGUUUAUUGAAUCUGAAGUGAUUUGCUCCUCUUUCUGGACUACACAAUAAACACCCUCCAACGUCCCCAGCCAUGCUCUUCCCAUCAUUUGGCUGAAAGGGGAGGAAUUCAAGGCCUUAGAGUGGGGAAGCUACAAUUUGGAAGAAUCCUGGAAGCACAGAUUACCCUGUGAAGCAGCAUCCCCAUGAGGGUCUCUUUCUUCUGUGAUAUAAGCAAGAAAUAAAUGAAUUGUGCAAAUCCA